AGUGAACGCUGGCGGCGUGCCUAAUACAUGCAAGUCGAACGGAGAUUAAGUAGCUUGCUAUUUAAUCUUAGUGGCGCACGGGUGAGUAAUAUAUAGCUAACUUGCCCAUUACUAAGGGACAACAGUUGGAAACGACUGCUAAUACCUUAUACUCCGUAUCUAUAUAAGUAGAUACGGGAAAGUUUUUCGGUAAUGGAUAGGGCUAUAUCGUAUCAGCUAGUUGGUAAGGUAAUGGCUUACCAAGGCUAUGACGUGUAACUGGUCUGAGAGGAUGAUCAGUCACACUGGAACUGAGACACGGUCCAGACUCCUACGGGAGGCAGCAGUAGGGAAUAUUGCUCAAUGGGGGAAACCCUGAAGCAGCAACGCCGCGUGGAGGAUGACACUUUUCGGAGCGUAAACUCCUUUUCUUGGGAAAGAAUUAUGACGGUACCCAAGGAAUAAGCACCGGCUAACUCCGUG
Molecule: ribosomal RNA, 462 nt
Filed under: uncultured bacterium
Lineage: Bacteria
Description: partial 16S ribosomal RNA
Rfam family: Bacterial small subunit ribosomal RNA
Source: RNAcentral